AUGUCAUGAUAAGGGCACUUUCGUAAUAACUCCUUGAACCGCUCCGAUGCCUCAUAUAAAGAUUCUUCAUCAAGUUGCUGAAAUGACGUGAUUUCAUUUCAAAUCUU
Molecule: small nucleolar RNA, 107 nt
Filed under: Gossypium barbadense (sea-island cotton)
Lineage: Eukaryota; Viridiplantae; Streptophyta; Magnoliopsida; Malvales; Malvaceae
Also listed under: 1 other name
Description: Plant small nucleolar RNA R71
Rfam family: Plant small nucleolar RNA R71
About the family: R71 is a member of the C/D box family of snoRNAs containing the C (UGAUGA) and D (CUGA) box motifs. Multiple nearly identical copies of this snoRNA have been identified in Arabidopsis, and it is thought to function as a 2'-O-ribose methylation guide for 18S ribosomal RNA.
Source: Rfam by way of RNAcentral